UAUUUGUCGAUUGAGGCAUUACGAAGUC
This 28-nucleotide small RNA is filed under the name Bombyx mori (domestic silkworm). Its description in RNAcentral is "ovarian small RNA-24337". The record is from RNAcentral. Lineage: Eukaryota; Metazoa; Arthropoda; Insecta; Lepidoptera; Bombycidae.